CCAUAGCUGCCGACACCACCACCACAUUAAACAAACCCGUCGGCACCACCACAGCCUACUCAUCGACAACUAAUCAGUUACUUCCCGAAAUCGCCACAACUCCACAACCUUCAACCAUCGCCGCGCUGCCAUUUCCUUGCCUUCCACAGUCGCCCAAACUAACCCAACCCAAUAUCCACCCCCAUCCCCACCUAACAUCCAACCAAACACAAUCCAAAGCCACCAAUCGCCACCACAAAACCCAUAGUCGACUCGAUGGACAGUUAUCCAUCUAUCUCAAAUUAAUCAAUUCAAUUCUACAAGAAAUUAUUGGUGGAAAAUCCCACCACCACCACCAUCUCUACCACGACUGCAACAUAGAAAAUUCGGUCGAGUACUGACCAAUAUGAUGCACUUUCCUUAUUUGAAACCCUCCAAGCAAAUCAAGCUAUUGCUAUAUCCGGGAUGCACCUUACCUUCCUUGAAACCAAAUGGCACUGUCCCUAUGUUUGGUGUAGAGAGUCUCCUUUGUGAAUCCAUGGCUCUUAGCUUGGAUCUUGCUAAGAGAUCACAAAAUUGGUUGGAAAAUGAAUUUUAUGGACGAGAAAACAGAAACCAUGUACACCAUGGGAGAAGUGAAAUAGGUAAGGAUCGCUCAAGUAGAUCUUUUGAAUUCCCGUAACUUUUGGGUUCAAUUUAGUGGAGGCGGUGUUGAAGUUUAGAAGAAAUGGAGGUGGAAGGUGAUGGUUCGAUUUAGUGGAGGUGGUUUUGGUUUUUGUGUGGCUGUGGGUUUGGUGGUGGCUGUCGGCGACUUUGGAUUAUGGUUUGGCU
This 810-nucleotide long non-coding RNA is filed under the name Olea europaea (common olive). Its description in RNAcentral is "long non-coding RNA (OEUR_LNC009238)". The record is from RNAcentral. Lineage: Eukaryota; Viridiplantae; Streptophyta; Magnoliopsida; Lamiales; Oleaceae.